This is a Y RNA of Callithrix jacchus (white-tufted-ear marmoset), 102 nucleotides long. It matches the Rfam family "Y RNA". From Rfam's summary of the family: Y RNAs are components of the Ro ribonucleoprotein particle (Ro RNP), in association with Ro60 and La proteins. The Y RNAs and Ro60 and La proteins are well conserved, but the function of the Ro RNP is not known. The record is from Ensembl. NCBI's taxonomy places the organism in Eukaryota, Metazoa, Chordata, Mammalia, Primates, Cebidae.
GGCUGGUCCGAGUGCAGUGGUGUUUACAACUAAUUGAUCACAACCAGUUACAGAUUUCUUUGUUCCUUCUCCACUCCCACUGCUUCACUUGACCAGCCUUUA